RNA transcript from Solanum pennellii, 1057 nucleotides. It is a transcript of the gene named protein PATRONUS 2-like, with no coding region annotated. Lineage: Eukaryota; Viridiplantae; Streptophyta; Magnoliopsida; Solanales; Solanaceae. The record is from RefSeq and is a predicted model, not a curated record. The transcript is spliced from 6 exons.
UUCAUUUUCCAAAUUUGAAUUGUAUUCAUCUCCCGCCCUUGUCCUAAUCGACACCACUAUCCGCCGGGCGCCGGCAAACUAUUUUUCCGGUGAAAUCGAGUUGCAUAAUUUGAUUGAGUGCGAUAAUCAUGGCAAAGAAUCUCAUUCAGAGGCCUCUUAUCUUUCAAGAUGAAAACUCGGACAUUUACUUCAAAAAGGGUUGGAUAUCUGGCAAAUCAAAGAGUGGUAAACCUGAAGCUCUUAAAAAAGGUAUCACAGGGCUUAAAAGUCGUAAUGCCCUCAAUGACAUCACGAACAAAUCAAUUGCCCUUCCUGAAGAAGCAGCAAAGAAAAAGAGUUCACAGAAGGAGGUUAAAGUUCCAAGUGAGCUUAACAUAGCAGAGGAGACAUUUCAACAUGAUCACAAAAAAUGUGUUGAGGCACAACGUUCAGGAAUCACGCGAAAACAUUUCAUGGAAUUGGUUCUGCCUGGUUGUGAUUCAGCCUCUCAUAUUGACAUACCAAAAACAGAACUGGGAAUGAAUGAUAAAGGAAUCGAUAACUCACACUGCUAUCCCGUGCCAGAAGAAUUGUCUAUGUCAGAGUUCUCUUGGUUGAAAUCUUUAUGGGAUCCAUCUUCUCCCAAGAAGAGGGAUUCUCCACCCUCCUCUCCUUCCAAGUGGGCGUUUGAGCCGGUCGAAUUUACACUUAAUGAAGAAAAAGAUUGCUGAAAUGGCCAGUGAGCUGCUCUAUUUAGUCAAUGACAUGUAUAUGAUAUUAGAUUCGAUUCCAAGUAGGAGCACAUCUCGAGGAGCAGUUUGAGUCCGAGUUUGGAGUGUCUUGGAGUUGUGGUGAGCUGCUUGGCUGUUCCGUGGCCCACACCUCCCUCUAUAUUUUUUAUUUAUUCUGUUAUUCAGUAUUCAGACAGGAUAUCCCUUAUGUUAGAUUUGCCUUUUUAGUUUCAGACUUGCAUCGUAUUUUAGAAGCUCUUGUACUCAUGACACCAUUUCUUGGGUAGUAUUUUUUUUCAGUUUUCCGCAUUCGUACUUAUAAGAACUCAGUGUUGGAGAUUUGGAAA